Molecule: ribosomal RNA, 419 nt
Filed under: uncultured Prevotella sp.
Lineage: Bacteria; Pseudomonadati; Bacteroidota; Bacteroidia; Bacteroidales; Prevotellaceae
Description: bacterial SSU rRNA
Rfam family: Bacterial small subunit ribosomal RNA
Source: RNAcentral
GGAAUAUUGGUCAAUGGGCGUAAGCCUGAACCAGCCAAGUAGCGUGAGGGAUGACGGCCCUACGGGUUGUAAACCUCUUUUGUUCGGGAAUAACGUGCGGCACGCGUGCCGCUUUGCAUGUACCGUUCGAAUAAGGACCGGCUAAUUCCGUGCCAGCAGCCGCGGUAAUACGGAAGGUCCGGGCGUUAUCCGGAUUUAUUGGGUUUAAAGGGAGCGCAGGCGGCCUAUUAAGCGUGACGUGAAAUGUAGUUGCUCAACAUCUGCACUGCGUCGCGAACUGGUUGGCUUGAGUGCACGGGAGGAAGGCGGAAUUCGUGGUGUAGCGGUGAAAUGCUUAGAUAUCACGAAGAACCCCGAUUGCGAAGGCAGCCUUCCGCAGUGUUACUGACGCUCAUGCUCGAAAGCGCGGGUAUCGAACA